Molecule: ribosomal RNA, 509 nt
Filed under: Meyerozyma guilliermondii
Lineage: Eukaryota; Fungi; Ascomycota; Pichiomycetes; Serinales; Debaryomycetaceae
Description: LSU rRNA
Rfam family: Eukaryotic large subunit ribosomal RNA
Source: RNAcentral
UAGCGCCGAGUGAGGCGGCAAAAGCUCAAAUUUGAAAUCUGGCGCCUUCGGUGUCCGAGUUGUAAUUUGAAGAUUGUAACCUUGGGGUUGGCUCUUGUCUAUGUUUCUUGGAACAGGACGUCACAGAGGGUGAGAAUCCCGUGCGAUGAGAUGCCCAAUUCUAUGUAAGGUGCUUUCGAAGAGUCGAGUUGUUUGGGAAUGCAGCUCUAAGUGGGUGGUAAAUUCCAUCUAAAGCUAAAUAUUGGCGAGAGACCGAUAGCGAACAAGUACAGUGAUGGAAAGAUGAAAAGAACUUUGAAAAGAGAGUGAAAAAGUACGUGAAAUUGUUGAAAGGGAAGGGUUUGAGAUCAGACUCGAUAUUUUGUGAGCCUUGCCUUCGUGGCGGGGUGACCCGCAGCUUAUCGGGCCAGCAUCGGUUUGGGCGGUAGGAUAAUGGCGUAGGAAUGUGACUUUACUUCGGUGAAGUGUUAUAGCCUGCGUUGAUGCUGCCUGCCUAGACCGAGGACUGC